UGGAUAUAAAUACAAAAGAGAAGUAAGAAUAAAGAAUCCUUCCUUUUAAAAAGGAAGAAGAAUAAAAUAUCUGGUUGAUCCUGCCAGUAUUAUAUGCUGAUGUUAAAGAUUAAGCCAUGCAUGUGUAAGUAUAAAGACCAAGUAGGAUGAAACUGCGGACGGCUCAUUAUAACAGUAAUAGUUUCUUUGGUUAGUAAAGUACAAGGAUAGCUUUGUGAAUGAUAAAGAUAAUACUUGAGACGAUCCAAUUUGUAUUAGUACAAAGUGGCCAAUUUAUGUAAGUAAAUUGAGAAAUGACAUUCUAAGUGAGUUAGGAUGCCACGACAAUUGUAGAACACACAGUGUUUAACAUGUAACCAAUGAGAAUUUCUGAUCUAUCAAUCAGUUGGUAGUAUCGAGGACUACCAAGAUUAUAACGGAUAACGAGGAAUUGGGGUUCGACAUCGGAGAGGGAGCUUUACAGAUGGCUACCACUUCUAAGGAAGGCAGCAGGCGCGUAAAUUACCCACUUUCGAAUUGAAGAGGUAGUGACGAC
RNAcentral lists this ribosomal RNA (535 nucleotides) under Entamoeba dispar. Its description in RNAcentral is "SSU rRNA". The stretch from base 68 to 535 matches the Rfam family "Eukaryotic small subunit ribosomal RNA", at positions 1 to 474 of the family's 1831-position model. The record is from RNAcentral. Lineage: Eukaryota; Evosea; Mastigamoebida; Endamoebidae.